UACAGAGGUCUCAAGCGUUGUUCGGAUUCAUUGGGCGUAAAGGGUGCGUAGGCGGCGCGGUAAGUCGGGUGUGAAAUCUCGGAGCUUAACUCCGAAACUGCAUUCGAUACUGCCGUGCUUGAGGACUGGAGAGGAGACUGGAAUUUACGGUGUAGCGGUGAAAUGCGUAGAUAUCGUAAGGAAGACCAGUGGCGAAAGCGGCUCUCUGGUCUGUUACUGACGCUGAGGCGCGAAAGCUAGGGGAGCAAACGGG
Molecule: ribosomal RNA, 253 nt
Filed under: uncultured bacterium
Lineage: Bacteria
Description: partial 16S ribosomal RNA
Rfam family: Bacterial small subunit ribosomal RNA
Source: RNAcentral